UACGAAGGGGGCUAGCGUUGCUCGGAAUUACUGGGCGUAAAGGGCGCGUAGGCGGACAGUCUAGUCAGAGGUGAAAGCCCAGGGCUCAACCUUGGAAUUGCCUUUGAUACUGGCUGUCUUGAGUUCGGGAGAGGUGAGUGGAAUGCCGAGUGUAGAGGUGAAAUUCGUAGAUAUUCGGCGGAACACCAGUGGCGAAGGCGACUCACUGGCCCGGUACCGACGCUGAGGCACGAAAGCGUGGGGAGCAAACAGG
RNAcentral lists this ribosomal RNA (253 nucleotides) under uncultured bacterium. RNAcentral describes it as "partial 16S ribosomal RNA". It matches the Rfam family "Bacterial small subunit ribosomal RNA", at positions 524 to 776 of the family's 1533-position model. The record is from RNAcentral.